This 493-nucleotide ribosomal RNA is filed under the name uncultured euryarchaeote. Its description in RNAcentral is "bacterial SSU rRNA". It matches the Rfam family "Archaeal small subunit ribosomal RNA", at positions 314 to 805 of the family's 1478-position model. The record is from RNAcentral. Lineage: Archaea; Methanobacteriati; Methanobacteriota.
UUCCAGGCCCUACGGGGCGCAGCAGGCGCGAAAACUUCGCAAUGGGGGAAACCCCGAACGAGGGAAAGCCAAGUGCCAGCACAAUGUGCUGGCUGUUUUCCUGUCUAAAAAACAGGGAGAGUAAGGGCUGGGUAAGACGGGUGCCAGCCGCCGCGGUAAUACCUGCAGCCCAAGUGGUGCUCGUUAUUAUUGGGUCUAAAACGUCCGUAGUCGGCCAAGUAGAUGCCCGGGUAAAUCGCAGCGCUCAACGUUKCGAAUUCCGGGUAGACCGCUCGGCUAGGGAUYGGGAGAGGUGCAUAGUACUCUGGGGGUAGGGGUAAAAUCCUGUAAUCCCUGGGGGACUACCAGUGGCAGAAGGCGAUGCACUAGAACAGAGUCCGACGAUCAGGGACGAAGCCCUGGGGCGCAAACGGGAUUAGAUACCCCGGUAGUCCAGGGUGUAAACGCUGCCGGACUUGGUGUCGCGGAUCCUACGUGGGUACSCGGUGCCGGA